This 68-nucleotide small RNA is filed under the name Sinorhizobium meliloti 2011. RNAcentral describes it as "putative ncRNA". Lineage: Bacteria; Pseudomonadati; Pseudomonadota; Alphaproteobacteria; Hyphomicrobiales; Rhizobiaceae. The record is from RNAcentral.
ACAGAGAGAACUCUGGCGAGCUGAGCCGGCCGGUUGACCUCCCAGUCUUUCUGCGGCGCCAGACGGAU